AAGCCAUGCAUGUCUAAGUAUAAACGAUUUAAUCGUGAAACCGCGAAUGGCUCAUUAUAACAGCUAUAAUUUACUUGAUCUUGACACAAUCCUACUUGGAUAACUGUGGUAAUUCUAGAGCUAAUACAUGCAUUAAAGCUCUGACCUCACGGGAAGAGUGCAUUUAUUAGAACAAAACCAAGCGGCUUCGGCUGUUUCUGGUUGACUCAUAGUAACUGAGCUGAUCGCAUGGUCUUGCACCGGCGACGUGUCUUUCAAGUAUCUGCCGUAUCAACUUUCGAUGGUAGUGUAUCUGACUACCAUGGUGAUCACGCGUAACGGAGAAUAAGGGUUCGGCUCCGGAGAGUUCGCCUGAGAAAUCGCGAACACAUCUAAGGAAGGCAGCAGGCGCGAAAAUUACCCACUCUCAGCACGAGGAGGUAGUGACGAAAAAUAACGAGACCGUUCUCUUAUGAGGCCGGUCAUCGGAAUGGGUACAAUUUAAACCCUUUAACGAGUAUCUAU
This 504-nucleotide ribosomal RNA is filed under the name unidentified nematode Sourhope farm. RNAcentral describes it as "SSU rRNA". It matches the Rfam family "Eukaryotic small subunit ribosomal RNA", at positions 46 to 548 of the family's 1831-position model. Lineage: Eukaryota; Metazoa; Nematoda. The record is from RNAcentral.